RNA transcript from Mangifera indica (mango), 1131 nucleotides. It is a transcript of the gene named bidirectional sugar transporter SWEET3-like, with no coding region annotated. The transcript is spliced from 8 exons. Lineage: Eukaryota; Viridiplantae; Streptophyta; Magnoliopsida; Sapindales; Anacardiaceae. The record is from RefSeq and is a predicted model, not a curated record.
AAGGCUGUUAAACAGUCCAUGCAACAAACUUAUAUAGCUGUUUACUAACUCUUCUUGUUGGGACCAUUUCUCCAUAUUAGGACCAUCUUUACAGGGCAAAAAAUGGCAGAUAGAUUGCGCCUGGCAGUUGGAGUCAUGGGAAAUGCAGCUUCUUUGUUACUUUAUGCUGCACCCAUAUUAACAUUUUCAAGGGUGAUAAGGAAGAAAGGCACAGAAGGGUUUUCAUGCAUCCCUUAUAUCAUUGCACUGUUAAACUGUCUCCUUUAUACUUGGUAUGGACUACCUAUUACAAGUUACAGAUGGGAGAAUUUCCCUGUGGUCACUAUCAAUGGUUUAGGUAUCCUUCUUGAGUUUUCCUUCAUUUUGAUACACUUUUGGUUUGCUUCAGCCAGAGGCAAGAUGAAGGUUGCUGCUACGUUGAUACCUGUUAUCCUAGUGUUCAGCAUCACUGCAGUUAUCUCAGGUUUUGUAUUCCAUGACCACCAUCAUCGCAAGGUGUUUGUGGGCAGUGUUGGACUGGUGGCCUCUGUGGCAAUGUAUGGUUCUCCACUGGUGGCUGUGAAGCAAGUUAUACAAACGAAGAGCGUAGAAUUCAUGCCAUUCUAUUUAUCUUUUUUCUCAUUCAUUGCUAGCUCACUUUGGAUGACCUAUGGACUGCUGAGCCAUGAUCUAUUUCUUGCGUCCCCUAAUCUGGUUGGUAGCCCCUUAGGCAUCCUCCAACUUGUUCUUUAUUGCAAGUACAGGAAAAGGGGAACUAUAGAAGAAUCAAACAAAUGGGAUUUAGAACAAAAUGAAGAGAAAUCCAAACAGUUGCAGUUCAUGAUGAAUAAUGAUGACAACAGCAAGAGUUGAAGAAUUCAACUAAAAGGAGUGACUUCAAUUCUUGGAGGAACAAAUUUCAAGAAGAGGAUAAUCACAGCUGAAGUCUCAGUAAACAGCAUGAACAUAGGAAGAAAAUGAUCCACAUCCCUUAAAUUGAUGCCAAAGUGGGAGCAAUAAUAAAUAGUUCAAAAACUGGAGCAGCAGAUGCAUAUGAUAGACCACACAUGCGUAACCCUCUAAUGUAGGGAUCACUGUGAUAUGCUGUAAAAGCAAUUUUAAUAUGCUCAACACAGAACGUAAUAAUUAUCA